CCGGGGUGGUUGCUAGGGUGUUGCUAGGUGGUUGCUAAGGUGUUGCUAGGCGGUUGCUAAGGUGUUGCUAGGCGGUUGCUAAGGUGUUGCUAUGGUAUCCGGGGUGGUUGCUAAGGUGUUGCUAGGUGGUUGCUAGGUGGUUGCUAAGGUGUUGCUAGGCGGUUGCUAAGGUGUUGUUAUGGUAUCCGGGGUGGUUGCUAAGGUGUUGCUAGGUGGUUGCUAGGUGGUUGCUAAGGUGUUGCUAGGCGGUUGCUAAGGUGUUGCUAUGGUAUCUUGGGUGGUUGCUAAGGUGUUGCUAGGUGGUUGCUAGGUGGUUGCUAGGGUGUUGCUAGGCAGUUGCUAAGGUGUUGCUAUGGUAUCCGGGGUGGUUGCUAAGGUGUUGCUAGGUGGUUGCUAAGGUGUUGCUAGGCGGUUGCUAAGGUGUUGCUAUGGUAUCCGGGGUGGUUGCUAAGGUGUUGCUAGGUGGUUGCUAAGGUGUUGCUAUGGUAUCCGGGGUGGUUGCUAAGGUGUUGCUAGGUGGUUGCUAAGGUGUUGCUAGGCGGUUGCUAAGGUGUUGCUAUGGUAU
Long non-coding RNA from Astyanax mexicanus (Mexican tetra), 565 nucleotides. RefSeq lists it as uncharacterized. NCBI's taxonomy places the organism in Eukaryota, Metazoa, Chordata, Actinopteri, Characiformes, Acestrorhamphidae. The record is from RefSeq and is a predicted model, not a curated record. The transcript is spliced from 3 exons.